Molecule: ribosomal RNA, 253 nt
Filed under: uncultured bacterium
Lineage: Bacteria
Description: partial 16S ribosomal RNA
Rfam family: Bacterial small subunit ribosomal RNA
Source: RNAcentral
AACGUAGGUGGCAAGCGUUAUCCGGAAUUACUGGGCGUAAAGGGUGUGCAGGCGGGAGGGUAAGUGGGGUAUGAAAUAUCCCAGCUUAACUGGGAGGGGUUAUGCCAGACUGCCUUUCUAGAGGACGAGAGAGGGGGGUGGAAUUCCGGGUGUAGUGGUGAAAUGCGUAGAUAUCGGGAAGAACACCCGUGGCGAAGGCGGCUCUCUGGGACGGUACUGACGCUGAGACGCGAAAGCGUGGGGAGCGAACAGG